RNAcentral lists this ribosomal RNA (434 nucleotides) under uncultured bacterium. RNAcentral describes it as "partial 16S ribosomal RNA". It matches the Rfam family "Bacterial small subunit ribosomal RNA", at positions 29 to 507 of the family's 1533-position model. The record is from RNAcentral.
AGCGAACGCUGGCGGCAGGCCUAACACAUGCAAGUCGAACGAACCUUUCGGGGUUAGUGGCGGACGGGUGAGUAACACGUGGGAACGUGCCUUUAGGCUCGGAAUAACUCAGGGAAACUUGUGCUAAUACCGAAUGUGCCCUUCGGGGGCAAGAUUUAUCGCCUUUAGAGCGGCCCGCGACCGAUUAGCUAGUUGGUUGAGGUAAUGGCUCACCAAGGCGACGAUCAGUAGCUGGUCUGAGAGGAUGAGCAGCCACAUUGGGACUGAGACACGGCCCAAACUCCUACGGGAGGCAGCAGUGGGGAAUCUUGCGCAAUGGGCGAAAGCCUGACGCAGCCAUGCCGCGUGAAUGAUGAAGGUCUUAGGAUUGUAAAAUUCUUUCACCGGGGACGAUAAUGACGGUACCCGGAGAAGAAGCCCCGGCUAACUUCGUG